GACGAACGCUGGCGGCGUGCCUAAUACAUGCAAGUCGAGCGGACUGAUUAAGAGCUUGCUCUUAUGACGUUAGCGGCGGACGGGUGAGUAACACGUGGGCAACCUGCCCUGUAGAUCGGGAUAACACCGAGAAAUCGGUGCUAAUACCGGGUAAUAUCUGAGAUCACAUGAUCUUAGGUUAAAAGAUGGCUCCGGCUAUCACUACAGGAUGGGCCCGCGGCGCAUUAGCUAGUUGGUAAGGUAAUGGCUUACCAAGGCGACGAUGCGUAGCCGACCUGGGAGGGUGAUCGGCCACACUGGGACGGAGACACGGCCCAGACUCCUACGGGAGGCAGCAGUAGGGAAUCUUCCGCAAUGGACGAAAGUCUGACGGGGCAACGCCGCGUGAGUGAUGAAGGGUUGCGGCGCGUAAAGCUCUGUUGUUAGGGAAGAAACAGUACCGAACGAACUAGGUCGGUACCUUGACGGUACCUAACCAGAAAGCCACGGCUAACUACGUG
This 500-nucleotide ribosomal RNA is filed under the name uncultured bacterium. Its description in RNAcentral is "partial 16S ribosomal RNA". It matches the Rfam family "Bacterial small subunit ribosomal RNA", at positions 28 to 507 of the family's 1533-position model. The record is from RNAcentral.